UAUCUUUCUGAAAUGGAGAUACAAAGACAA
RNAcentral lists this non-coding RNA (30 nucleotides) under Mus musculus (house mouse). The record is from RNAcentral. Lineage: Eukaryota; Metazoa; Chordata; Mammalia; Rodentia; Muridae.